Molecule: long non-coding RNA, 538 nt
Filed under: Phoenix dactylifera (date palm)
Lineage: Eukaryota; Viridiplantae; Streptophyta; Magnoliopsida; Arecales; Arecaceae
Description: long non-coding RNA (PDAC_LNC014836)
Source: RNAcentral
CGAAGAGGCAUCCCGCCAGAUUCAUCCAUCACGGCCGGUUCCUGCCGUUGCAAAUGGAGAAGCUCACCAGAUCCAACGCUGGAGUCUUCCACUGCUCUGUUACAAGGAAAUCUCAGCCGGUUCUCACUUGCCAUGGGAUCUUAAACGCUGCCAAGAAGAAGCCAUCCCGGUCCAUUUCAACGCCUCGUUCUCCAUCACGAAUUCCCCAGCUUCUAUGAUUCCUUGGAACGUUUAUUUUCCCAUCGAUGCAUCAAUGUAUCAGCCGGUUUAUGAGUCCAUUUAUUCCUUCUUUAUCAUGUAAUUGGUUGCCCUGCCUAUAAAAGGGGUUUAUCUCGUUAUGUAAAGGGAGGAAAAAACAAUGAAUAGAGGAGAAGCUGUUUGAUGAAUUGCUUGAAAGAGUUUGGUGUCCAAUCCCAAGAUCCUACCUUCCUUCCUUCUCUAAAAUCCUUCUCUACUAAGUGAACGCGGCGUCCCCUGACUUCCGCAACUUCCUCUAGCGCAGGCGGCGCUCAACAUCCGGCUCCCCAUUCCCUCUUCC